GACGAACGCUGGCGGCGUGCUUAACACAUGCAAGUCGAACGGAAAGGCCCUGCUUUUGUUGGGUGCUCGAGUGGCGAACACGUGUGUAUCACGUGAGUAUCCUGCCCUUGACUUUGGGAUAACUUCAGGAAACUGGGGCUCAUACCGCAUAUGAGCUCCUGCUGCAUGGUGGGGGUUGGAAAGUUGCGGCGUUUGUGGAUGGACUCGCGGCUCAUCAGCUUGUUGGUGGGGUAGUGGCUUAACAAGGCUUUGACGGGUAGCCGGCCUGAGAGGGUGACCGGCCACAGUGGGACUGAGACGCGGGCCAGACUCAUACGGGAGGCAGCAGUGGGGAAUAUUGCACGAUGGGCGGAGGCCGGAUGCAGCAACGCCGCGUGCGGGAGGACGGCCGUCGGGUUGUAAACCGCGUGCGCGUGUGACGAAGAGUGAGUGACGGUAAUGGGUAAAGAAGCACCGGCUAACUACGUG
RNAcentral lists this ribosomal RNA (468 nucleotides) under uncultured bacterium. RNAcentral's name for it is "partial 16S ribosomal RNA". It matches the Rfam family "Bacterial small subunit ribosomal RNA", at positions 28 to 507 of the family's 1533-position model. The record is from RNAcentral.